AACAUUUCUCUCAUUUCCAGAGAGUUCCAAACGCUCUGUCUUCUCUCUUCUUUCUCUCUCUAUAUUUUCUAUGAUUUCUCGGUCAAAUAUCAAUGUUUACAUGGUAUCAGAGCCGAGACGACGAUCCGAUCAUGUUUCUCUAUAUCUCGUUGUCUUGGUUGAACUCUUUUCUGAGAUUUUUUGGGGAUUUUUCUGAGACCUUAUGUUCGAUGAUGCUUCUGACCUAAAUCAGAUGCUUUUCGGAGUUUUUCGUCAUGAUAUCUGAGUGUAUUUUCUUCACCCGAACAUUCUGAGAGUUUUUCUGCUGAUUUUGGGUGGUUUCUCGGUGACCUAUCGGCUUCUAGGGUUUCUGGUGGUUNNNNN
RNAcentral lists this long non-coding RNA (363 nucleotides) under Nicotiana benthamiana. Its description in RNAcentral is "long non-coding RNA (NBEN_LNC008772)". Lineage: Eukaryota; Viridiplantae; Streptophyta; Magnoliopsida; Solanales; Solanaceae. The record is from RNAcentral.